RNAcentral lists this long non-coding RNA (379 nucleotides) under Mytilus galloprovincialis (Mediterranean mussel). Lineage: Eukaryota; Metazoa; Mollusca; Bivalvia; Mytilida; Mytilidae. The record is from RNAcentral.
GAUCAUGUUCUUCAUCUCAUUGGCAAAGACCCACUCUAGAACUACCUGUGUCAUUACCUGCUACAAGUUUAUUAAAAAUAUGUUGGAUCCUCAUAGUUUCAUUAUAUAUUCUGAGUUAACUUUUAACAUGCGACAAAAUUGCCACCACAAAAAUUCAUUUCCGUGCCUAGACCUAAGUCAACCCCAUCUGGAGGAUGUCAGUCUGCUACAAAAACAUACUUACUAUUGAGGAUUCUACUAUUCAAACAUCAAACAUUAAAUCUAAUAGGAUCUCCUACAAUUCUUGUACGGCAAAUAGCUACAUGGAAGUAUAUGUUACAUAGUAAUACGAAUACAAUUUAAAGCAUAAUAAAUCAAGAAAAAUAAUAAUUCUUCUGUA